This is a long non-coding RNA of Beta vulgaris subsp. vulgaris (sugar beet), 1592 nucleotides long. RefSeq lists it as uncharacterized. NCBI's taxonomy places the organism in Eukaryota, Viridiplantae, Streptophyta, Magnoliopsida, Caryophyllales, Amaranthaceae. The record is from RefSeq and is a predicted model, not a curated record. The transcript is spliced from 3 exons.
ACAAUAAUGCCAUUGGGUCCAUUAGGCCCAAUACCUCACCUAAAAUUACUACAAAAAUGGCCAAAGAGACUACCUACAAGAGACCGGUAGAGGUUACUAACCCAUUUCUUAAAGGUAGAAAACCAUUGGUUAUCUAAAACCAGUCUUUUAAGUUUAAGUAUUUGAGUAAUAAAAAAAGUUGUUGUGAAAUAAGAGACUGCUUCCAAGUAAAACCGAUUUCCUUGAUAUAUAUUAUUUUUUAAAUUCAAUUUUUUUUUAAGAUAUUACACAAUUAUACGUCUAUAUUCUUCUUGUGAAGAUUUAAGAGGCUACUUCUAACUUGAACCGAUUUCCUAGAAAUAAUAAUUUUAAAAUUUAAUAUCUUUUCAAUUAAUACUAAUGUUGUAUAAGUUAUAUAUAUAAAUCUAUUUACUUUUAAAAUUAUGCAACAAAUACAAUCGAAAAAAAAAACUACAUCUCCUAAUAUUAUUCUACCUAUAUGAUAAUGGUUAAUACCUGGCAAAAGAAACAAAAAAAAAAAAAAACCAGAACUACGCCAUAGCUUCUUGAACAAUCUCAUAACUUAAGUCGCACACCAUCCCUACAACCACCACUCUCCAUAUUCCAAAUUCUCCCCAUAAUCCAAAUCCUUCCAUCAAAAUUCCACCUUUGCUUUCGUAAAAUUCAUAAUAAGGGCUAUCACAUUGUUCAAUUCGUCAAUUUUUGAUUCAAUUCGUCAAUUCUUUUCGUCAAUUCUUCUGGAAUUUGUGAUUCUUUUCGUCAAUUUGUGAUUCAUUUGGGAAGAAAAGAGAUUUUCGAAAAAGUAUAAAAUUAGGGAACUUAUAAAGGAAAUUGAAGCUAUUUAUUUAUGUCUGCUAUAUGGCCAAGAAGAAAAAGCAAGUGUGCUCUCAAGGUGAUCAAACCUCUUCUGAUGAUUGUGAUGUUAAAAAGUCUAAUCGUGAUGAUGAGAGGGGACGUACCGUACUCACUAAGGUGGGCAAGUCUAUUCAAAAUGGAAAUAAAAUUUAUUUAGAUUGGCAUCCAAUUCGGAGGAAUCCACGUGGUGAUAAACGCCUCACUUUUACCACCUAUAUUGGUGUAGCUACUCGAGAACGAGUGUUCAUCACCUAUUACAGUUGGAAUGAUGUUCUGGAAAUCAAAUUAUACGAGUUAUAUGAUAUAAUCACGAAGGGGUUCACAGUACAAAAAGACCACAGAAAAUGGACCUUGUCUCGUGCUAAUGAUCGAUGGAGGGCUUUCAACACAAGAUUAAGAAAGUUAUGGUUGUUAAGGAAGUCCACUGGAAGGUUGAGAAAAAAACCACCAUGGAAAUAUUCUUUUAUCCUUCAACCUGCUUGGGAUAAAUUUAAGGAAAUGUGCACUACCGAAAAGUUCAAGUUUUCAUAAUAUUUAAUAUUAUUUCAUAGUUUUUAUGUUGGUUAUGCAAAUAGAAUAUUAUGUGUUCUAAGUUCUAACUAUGUAUCUAUACUAUUUCAAGGAGCUUAUUAGCGAGGAAAGUCGAAAACGAUCAAGUCUGAAAGUUUCAAGCUAUCUCUAAUACCCCGAAUUUUCAAAGCUUAUUUUAUUAUUUAUUAAAGUUUAAUAUUAUUCUA